RNAcentral lists this ribosomal RNA (200 nucleotides) under uncultured bacterium. RNAcentral's name for it is "partial 16S ribosomal RNA". It matches the Rfam family "Bacterial small subunit ribosomal RNA", at positions 28 to 224 of the family's 1533-position model. The record is from RNAcentral.
GAUGAACGCUAGCGGCGGGCUUAAUACAUGCAAGUCGAGGGGCAGCACGAUGUAGCAAUACAUUGGUGGCGACCGGCGGACGGGUGCGUAACACGUAUGCAACUUGCCCUAUACUGGGGGAUAGCCCGAAGAAAUUCGGAUUAAUACCCCAUAACAUCAAGAUAAGCAUUUAUCUUGGUUCAAAACUCCGGUGGUAUAGG